CUUCUCGAUAAAUUAAACAGGUGCUUUUGGAAAAUAUCUACUGAAUUAUCAUCCGUUGUGAUCAAAAGGAACCAAGCCAUCAACUCUCGAAUCUCAAUUACUUCAAAUCGGACACCAAUCACUUUGUUCAGCUGCACCGUCCGGACUAAACUUCACGCCUCGGUCACGCAUGAUGACUUAUUAGUGGCACUGAAUCGCAGCCGAACAGGCCAUUCAUCAAAAUCAAAGGAGCACUCUUUGAGCCAAGUUGAUCACUUAACUUUCUCAGCCCUCGUUUCCCACUUUGCGUGAAAGUGUUUUUAGGGAACUGAAGUGAUAUCUACCAGGCGUGAUUUGUUGUUUUCAUUAGUGAAAAAUACUGAACUAAACCAGUUGCCGGCGAAUCGGACUAGAAAUUGGAGUUUAUGUUUAGAUCAGAAGCAUUUACAACUAAAUAAGCCAAUACGCGAAGAUGUUCUGCAACUCCAGAAAACCAACACUUUUCGCCCAAUGCGGACUGCUACUCAUGCUCGCUACCAUAUUCCUCCAACAAGACCUAACACAGUCCAUACAUACUCAAAAGACCUUGCAGUGGCUUAACUCUCGACCACGGACUAUGGUAGGAUACUGGCCGUCUCGCGCUUUCGAUCAGUGGGAAGUCUCCGACAGCAUUGCCGAACCAGAAAACGAUUCAGGAGCAGAAGCUGCCGACGAUUAUAUGCCAGACACUUUUUUCAUUUGGCCACAAGAGGAAGCACCUCAAAAAAGGCGCGGAAAUUUGUGGACUGGAAAAUAGGUCUCGACUUUUCUCGGAAAAAGGCAAAUCUAUUCCCAAUAUCUUCAUCGAUUAUAUCACCCACUGCAUUUUUAAU
Symsagittifera roscoffensis is the source of this 851-nucleotide long non-coding RNA. RefSeq lists it as uncharacterized. The transcript is spliced from 3 exons. NCBI's taxonomy places the organism in Eukaryota, Metazoa, Xenacoelomorpha, Acoela, Convolutidae. The record is from RefSeq and is a predicted model, not a curated record.